GAUAAACGCUGGCGGCGCACAUAAGACAUGCAAGUCGAACGGACUUAACCUAUAGUUUACUAUUGGAGCGGUUAGUGGCGGACUGGUGAGUAACGCGUAAGCAAUCUGCCUAUCAGAGGGGAAUAACAGUGAGAAAUCACUGCUAAUACCGCAUAAGCUGUGAGUAUCGCAUGAUACAAGCAGAAAAGGAGCAAUCCGCUGAUAGAUGAGCUUGCGUCUGAUUAGCUAGUUGGCGGGGUAACGGCCCACCAAGGCGACGAUCAGUAGCCGGACUGAGAGGUUGAACGGCCACAUUGGGACUGAGACACGGCCCAG
Molecule: ribosomal RNA, 315 nt
Filed under: uncultured bacterium
Lineage: Bacteria
Description: bacterial SSU rRNA
Rfam family: Bacterial small subunit ribosomal RNA
Source: RNAcentral